Molecule: non-coding RNA, 112 nt
Organism: Acanthosepion pharaonis
Lineage: Eukaryota; Metazoa; Mollusca; Cephalopoda; Sepiida; Sepiidae
Source: the annotation of a GenBank genome assembly
ACAACCAUAUCACAUUGAAACACUAGUUCUCAUAUGAUCACUGAAAUUAAGCAACAUCAAGCCUGGUCAGUACAUAGAUGGGUGACUGCUCUGAAAUACCAGGUGCUGUAAG